AAGGUUUUAGCUUAAUGAAAGUGGCUGAGUUGCAUUCAGUUGAUGUGGGGUAGAGUCCUGCAAGCCUUA
This 69-nucleotide transfer RNA is filed under the name Pipa carvalhoi (Carvalho's Surinam toad). RNAcentral's name for it is "tRNA-Ala". It matches the Rfam family "tRNA". From Rfam's summary of the family: Transfer RNA (tRNA) molecules are approximately 80 nucleotides in length. Their secondary structure includes four short double-helical elements and three loops (D, anti-codon, and T loops). Further hydrogen bonds mediate the characteristic L-shaped molecular structure. tRNAs have two regions of fundamental functional importance: the anti-codon, which is responsible for specific mRNA codon recognition, and the 3' end, to which the tRNAs corresponding amino acid is attached (by aminoacyl-tRNA synthetases). tRNAs cope with the degeneracy of the genetic code in two manners: having more than one tRNA (with a specific anti-codon) for a particular amino acid; and 'wobble' base-pairing, i.e. permitting non-standard base-pairing at the 3rd anti-codon position. The record is from RNAcentral. Lineage: Eukaryota; Metazoa; Chordata; Amphibia; Anura; Pipidae.